Molecule: long non-coding RNA, 938 nt
Organism: Gadus morhua (Atlantic cod)
Lineage: Eukaryota; Metazoa; Chordata; Actinopteri; Gadiformes; Gadidae
Exons: 3
Source: RefSeq, a predicted model, not a curated record
GUUACGGGGAUAUUAGAAGUAGAACAAUGCUGACAAGGCAUCAGACCGUGGCCUACAUUGCUGCCCCGGUCCAAGUCCCCGCCCACCUGGAGGCAGAGGCUCGGGGCUUAAUAUGUCCCGAGUCAAUGCUCGUCCCUCUGCGGGAGAUGGCAGAGGUCGAGGAGACGACGCUGCUGACUGUUCAGGGCUGGGUCAAAGAACUAGGUGCGUUCCACCCGCAAACAGCGGCCGGUGGCACGCCAGUGCCUCGAAGGGCCGUGGUGCUAAAAGAUGUAAGGAAUUGAUCAUAGAGUGUGCUCAGUAGUCACUUUGUUAAAUUACUCAUUUUGAUAGCUCCUUUUAUACAAUUGCAUAUCUUUUCAGCAGGUGAAGUAAAAGUUCAAAUCAGUGUCGGCCUUAAAUAAGCACUGCUUACGUAGCCUGUUUUAUUGUGGUAAGGGGAUACAGAGGUGGAAUUGCUACUCUGGAGGGAGGCCAACCUCACACCGUUAGAGGUUGGCCUCCUUAUAAGAGUGACCCAUCUGCGGGCGAAAAGGAGCAACUGGGGACUGAGCCUCCACUCGUCAGGGCACACUUCAGUGGAAGUUAUAAAUGGAGACAAGGAGGUCCAGGUCGUGGGGUACAGGACCCUCCCAGACGGUGACAUGGAGGUCCUGGACCCCAUGGACAACGAACAUGUCGUUCCAAGGGCCAUGUGGGAUGCAGUGAUUGGAGAGACCGUCCCAGCCAUACCUUUCAAUUUAUUAUUUACUUUUGAAAGGGCAAAAUUACUCCUAAUUAAUUUAAGAGAGGAGUAGUCAUCGCCCCCCCCACCCCCCCCGUUCGAGUUUUGUUAUUGGUUAAGGACAUUAAAUCAUUAUUUCAGUUUGUCGUUGUUGUCCCAUCAUCAUUUUUACUUUCAAAUGACGUCACCGCAGCACGAAUACUCAUGACAGCCC